UUUUCGCACUUCUCUCCAGCUCAUUCUGAAUAUCUGACAAAAAACACGAUGCUGAAAUGCUAUUUUCCUAAAGUCAAGUCUGGUCCCACUUCUUACAACCCUCUGUGGCUUAUAUAUCCAUCCAAAGACUGCACUGCUUAGAAUCUGCCUAAUUUAGCAAACUACUAACUAAAUACCGCGGACGUGAUACUCCAGAUUUUGUAAAAUAUGUUGACUAUUGACUAUACUGACUAUAAUAUGCAUCACUAACUCUACAUAUGCCUACCCCCUUCUCCUAGAUAACCGGUGUUGCUUGUCUAGCAUUUGGAACAUCAUUCAUUAUCUUCAGUAACUGCUUUACACCGGUCAAUGUCACGGUGGCUCUGGAGUCCAUCUUGGGAACUCUGGGCAUGAGCCAAUAGAAAACUGACUGCGAUGUUGAUCCCUGGUGUGACCACGCGCACGUUCAUGAUGACAUGCAGGACCUUGUGAGGACCUGACGGAGAACUGUGCUCACUGGCGUCACCUCUCCGGAGAGCUUGUGCAAGAGGAAGAGGAAGAUAAGAUGGCCUGCAAUGGAUUGCUGGCUUUUCUACAGUAUAUUCCUGCACCAUGGCUGUCUUUUAUCAUCCACAACAACACUGACCAAGAUAAAGCGGUUAAUAAGAUGCAUAGGCCUCUGUGUUUAUGACCGUGCAUUUCAAAAUGUCUGGUUAGAUAAUCAACAAUGACAGCAAAUACAAUAUAAUUCAAGCAAACAUCCAUAACUGAGCAUCCUCUUAUUUCCCACAGCUUGCGAGUAAGAAAUGGCUCUGUGCUAUUCAUCAUAGUGAGGCUUAGCAUUUAAAACGCAACACACACCUGUAGCCAGCAUUUCAAAGAAACAUCUGAUGUCAGGCAAAAUGUGUUUUUUUUGACAAACUCAGAAAAGCCAGCAGUGUGUAGGACCUUCUCCUGCUGCAGAGCACAACUCCACAGCUGUUCCUCCUUCAGAUAAGUGAGCUAACUUUAUUAAAAUCACUAUAAACUGACAAUUUCCAUCACAUCCUGAACAUGCUCUAAAGCUAGCUAAAUAGAUUAUUAGAGCUGUGUUCAUUAGCAACUGCGCCAGGUGAUUGACGUAAGGGAAUUAGCUAGCUAGCCAAGUGUGAAAAACAUAGCUAGUGCUUUAAUGCUUACCUUAAUCAGGAAUUCGCUGUUAAUGGGCUAUUAGGAUUAGCUGUCAUUCAUGCAUUUCACUAUUUAAACAGUGUUUAAAUGGCAGUCUGAACACUACUAUUCAUUAGUGACUAUGAUGACAUAGUUGUUAAUUAAUUAAUUAUUAGUUUGUGACAGCAAGAGAAAUCCGAGAAAGUGGAUGCAUAUAGUAUGUACGCCUUACACGUGCACACACACACACACAAUAACAUUACAGUGUUUAAUGCUGCAAGGAGACAUCCCUAAUGAAGAUGUUUAAUAAUAAUUAGAGAAGAGAGAUAGAGAGUGAGACAGAGAGGCAGAGAGUGUGUGUGUGUGUGGAUGAGAGAGAGAGAGACAGACAGAGAGACAGAGUUCAUUUGUGUGUGUGUGUAUGUGUGAAAGAGAGAGAGAGAGAGAGAGAGCAAUUGCACAGCUGUCUGCUGAACAAUGCAGGGUCAUUUAUUCUAAUUUAGUAUUUAUCUGCUAAAGUAGGUGAGUUAUCAGUAAGGAGUAAAUGGAAACACAGCCAAGUGUGACGAAGGGAGUGUGCGUGCGAGAGAGUGAGGGAGAAAGAAAGAACCAGAGCGAGAAAGAGAGAGAGAAAGAGAGAGAGAGAUGAUGAUGAUGGUGAUGAUGGGUUAUGAUGGAACAUUAUCGAAUAAAACUCCCAGUCCGUUAUCAUAAUUAAAGCUGCCGAAAAUAGUUUUGUGUAUCAGGGGGAAAGGCCCUAUUCACAGUCUCCUCCAUCUUUAAGAGGAGCCUCUGAAAACUCCCCGAGCCUCACUGCACUCUGUUUGCUGCACUGAAACCUCCGUGAUGGAUGGGAGCACUUUCUGUGUGUAUGAGAAUGAAGUGUUGAGCCUUCAAAUCAAAAGGUCCAAACUUAUUGCUUACAUUUAAUAGCUCUAUACCCUCAUUCCAUUAGCUGCCUUUCCAGUCUUCAGAUGUUCUAUAGACGGUAUUUUUAUGUCCACUAACAUUUGUGACCACUGAUCGAUAAUGGACAUUUUGUGCUCUAAUUCAACCCAAAGGAUCUGAUUGUUAGCAGACUCACUGGGAGCUAAUUCUGACUGUGCUAGAGAACCACAGACAGGCUAUACAGUACAUAAACAUCCCGAGGUAAUGAAUAUUAUACCACAGCGCCGUUGAAUUCUCGAAUCUGAUUGGUCAGAAGGUGUUGACUUAUUAUUUGACAGAUAAUCACAGGUUUACAUUAAUAUGCUUGUUCUAUUAUUAUAUUGUUUCUAUAGUAGAUGCUCCUGCACAGAGACUUGAAGGGUGGAUGCUACACAUAACUUGGAGCUAUGAAGAAGGAGAAGAAUA
This is a long non-coding RNA of Hemibagrus wyckioides, 2481 nucleotides long. RefSeq lists it as uncharacterized. The transcript has 3 exons. NCBI's taxonomy places the organism in Eukaryota, Metazoa, Chordata, Actinopteri, Siluriformes, Bagridae. The record is from RefSeq and is a predicted model, not a curated record.